RNAcentral lists this unclassified non-coding RNA (1266 nucleotides) under Hevea brasiliensis (rubber tree). The record is from RNAcentral. Lineage: Eukaryota; Viridiplantae; Streptophyta; Magnoliopsida; Malpighiales; Euphorbiaceae.
AUCAACAACAAAGGAGCUUUCAAUCAGGGGAGCUCAACAAAGUCUUGGAAGAGGAGGUCAACAUUGAAGAAAUUGUAGACGGCGUGAUAGAAGCUGCUUCAACUACGAUAAGACUACUCACUUCGCUCGAAAUUGUAGAUUGAAGAAACAAUCUGUUGAAGGGAAUUUAGUAACCAAUGCACAAGAGAGCGAUGAGGAAUGGGAUUUUCUUGCAUCAUUUGCAAGUGCAACGUUCGAUGACACAACUAAGGAGACAGAAGAGGUGUCACUCAUCGCCUGCAAUGACAAGGCAGUUGACUGCAACAAAGAUUGGAUCAUAGACUCCAGAUGCUCCAAUCACAUGACGGGAGAUAGAAAGAAACUCUACAACAUGUCUUAAUAUAAAGGAGGAAAGGUAGUUAUAACUGCUAAUAAUUCGAAGUUGCCUAUCGCAAACGUUGGCAGUACUAUGAUCAUGCCCUGCUUCAAUUCUAAUCAAGUGCAGUUAGAGAAAGUUCUCCAUGUCCCAAGUAUGAAGAAGAAUUUUUUAUCAGUUUCACAAUUGACAUCUUCUGGAAAUUAUGUGGCGUUUGGACCAAACGAUGUCAAGGUAUUUAGAAACUCGUCACUUUGUGGCAAGCCCAUUAUGGAGGGACGAAAAUUAGAGUCUAUAUAUGUAAUGACUGCUGAGUCAGCAUACAUAGAUAAGAUGAGAAAGAAUGAGACAACUGACUUGUGGCACGCUUGACUCGGACAUGUUAGCUACCAAAAGUUGAAAAUUAUAAUGGCAAAGUCAAUGCUUAAAGGCCUUCCUCAAUUGGAAAUAUGCGGUGUUGUUGUCUGUGCUGGAUGUCAGUAUGGUAAAGCUCAUCAGUUACCAUACAAGGAGUCAGAGUACAAGGCAAAAGAAUCUUUGGAGCUCAUCCAUUCAAACGUGUUUGGCCAAUUCAAAGAUCCUUCCAUUAGUGGGAUGCGAUAUAUGGUGACUUUCAUCGAUGAUUAUACAAGGUACAUAUGGGCAUUCUUUAUGAAACAAAAGUCUGAAACUUUGAUCAAAUUUAAGGAAUUCGAGCAAAAGGUUGAAAAUGAAGUUGGAAAAAAGAUUAGGUACCUUCGUACUGAUAAUGGUGAAGAGUACAUAUCGAAUGAGUUCACGGAGUAUCUAAAAGAACAAAAUAUAUAGCGUCAGUUGACUUGUCUAGGGACUCCGCAACAUAAUGGAGUCAUAGAAAGGAAGAAUCGGCAUCUUGCACAGAUUUGUAGAAGCAUGCUACAUGCUAAGAAUGU